AUUGAACGCUGGCGGCAUGCUUUACACAUGCAAGUCGAACGGUAACAGGCCGCAAGGUGCUGACGAGUGGCGAACGGGUGAGUAAUGCAUCGGAACGUGCCCAGUCGUGGGGGAUAACUACUCGAAAGAGUAGCUAAUACCGCAUACGAUCUAUGGAUGAAAGCGGGGGACCGUAAGGCCUCGCGCGAUUGGAGCGGCCGAUGUCAGAUUAGGUAGUUGGUGGGGUAAAGGCUCACCAAGCCAACGAUCUGUAGCUGGUUUGAGAGGACGACCAGCCACACUGGGACUGAGACACGGUCCAGACUCCUACGGGAGGCAGCAGUGGGGAAUUUUGGACAAUGGGCGCAAGCCUGAUCCAGCAAUGCCGCGUGCAGGAAGAAGGCCUCGGUUGUAACUAGCUUUGUUACGGUAACGAAACGGUACCGUGGUUAAGUACCUAGGGCGUAAUGACGGUACCGUAAGAAUAAGACACCGGCUAACUACGUAGCCAGCAGCCGCGG
This 500-nucleotide ribosomal RNA is filed under the name uncultured bacterium. RNAcentral describes it as "bacterial SSU rRNA". It matches the Rfam family "Bacterial small subunit ribosomal RNA", at positions 30 to 520 of the family's 1533-position model. The record is from RNAcentral.